UCGGGAAUUUUGGGCAAUGGGCGAAAGCCUGACCCAGCAACGCCGCGUGAAGGAUGAAGUAUUUCGGUAUGUAAACUUCGAAAGAAUAGGAAGAAUAAAUGACGGUACUAUUUAUAAGGUCCGGCUAACUACGUGCCAGCAGCCGCGGUAAUACGUAGGGACCAAGCGUUGUUCGGAUUUACUGGGCGUAAAGGGCGCGUAGGCGGCAAUUCAAGUCAUCUGUGAAAUCUCCGGGCUUAACUCGGAACGGUCAGAUGAUACUGCUUUGCUAGAGUGCAGAAGGGGCAAUCGGAAUUCUUGGUGGAGCGGUGAAAUGCGUAGAUAUCAAGAGGAACACCUGAGGUGAAGACGGGUUGCUGGGCUGAUACUGACGCUGAGGCGCGAAAGCUAGGGUAGCAAACGGGAUUAGAUACCCAAGUAGUCCCUGAGCGGGCUGGCAAGGCGCAU
This 447-nucleotide ribosomal RNA is filed under the name uncultured bacterium. RNAcentral describes it as "bacterial SSU rRNA". It matches the Rfam family "Bacterial small subunit ribosomal RNA", at positions 355 to 825 of the family's 1533-position model. The record is from RNAcentral.